UCUUUUUCUCUGCAUUUGUGCCCUCCCCAAAUCUGCUCUGGAAUGCCUCCGCUAGAGCAGAUUUGGGGGGGGGGGGGAGAUGCAGGGGAAGAGA
This is a non-coding RNA of Podarcis lilfordi (Lilford's wall lizard), 94 nucleotides long. NCBI's taxonomy places the organism in Eukaryota, Metazoa, Chordata, Lepidosauria, Squamata, Lacertidae. The record is from the annotation of a GenBank genome assembly.